GGGAGGCAGCAGUAGGGAAUCUUCCACAAUGGACGAAAGUCUGAUGGAGCAACGCCGCGUGAGUGAAGAAGGGUUUCGGCUCGUAAAACUCUGUUGUUAAAGAAGAACAUAUCUGAGAGUAACUGUUCAGGUAUUGACGGUAUUUAACCAGAAAGCCACGGCUAACUACGUGCCAGCAGCCGCGGUAAUACGUAGGUGGCAAGCGUUGUCCGGAUUUAUUGGGCGUAAAGCGAGCGCAGGCGGUUUUUUAAGUCUGAUGUGAAAGCCUUCGGCUCAACCGAAGAAGUGCAUCGGAAACUGGGAAACUUGAGUGCAGAAGAGGACAGUGGAACUCCAUGUGUAGCGGUGAAAUGCGUAGAUAUAUGGAAGAACACCAGUGGCGAAGGCGGCUGUCUGGUCUGUAACUGACGCUGAGGCUCGAAAGUAUGGGUAGCAAACAGGAUUAGAUACCCUGGUAGUCCAUACCGUAAACGAUGAAUGCUAAGUGUUGGAGGGUUUCCGCCCUUCAGUGCUGCAGCUAACGCAUUAAGCAUUCCGCCUGGGGAGUACGGCCGCAAGGCUGAAACUCAAAGGAAUUGACGGGGGCCCGCACAAGCGGUGGAGCAUGUGGUUUAAUUCGAAGCUACGCGAAGAACCUUACCAGGUCUUGACAUACUAUGCAAAUCUAAGAGAUUAGACGUUCCCUUCGGGGACAUGGAUACAGGUGGUGCAUGGUUGUCGUCAGCUCGUGUCGUGAGAUGUUGGGUUAAGUCCCGCAACGAGCGCAACCCUUAUUAUCAGUUGCCAGCAUUAAGUUGGGCACUCUGGUGAGACUGCCGGUGACAAACCGGAGGAAGGUGGGGAUGACGUCAAAUCAUCAUGCCCCUUAUGACCUGGGCUACACACGUGCUACAAUGGAUGGUACAACGAGUUGCGAACUCGCGAGAGUAAGCUAAUCUCUUAAAGCCAUUCUCAGUUCGGAUUGUAGGCUGCAACUCGCCUACAUGAAGUCGGAAUCGCUAGUAAUCGCGGAUCAGCAUGCCGCGGUGAAUACGUUCCCGGGCCUUGUACACACCGCCCGUCACACCAUGAGAGUUUGUAACACCCAAAGUCGGUGGGGUAACCUUUUAGGAACCAGCCGCCUAAGGUGGGACAGAUGAUUAG
RNAcentral lists this ribosomal RNA (1143 nucleotides) under Lactiplantibacillus plantarum. Its description in RNAcentral is "bacterial SSU rRNA". It matches the Rfam family "Bacterial small subunit ribosomal RNA", at positions 343 to 1478 of the family's 1533-position model. Lineage: Bacteria; Bacillati; Bacillota; Bacilli; Lactobacillales; Lactobacillaceae. The record is from RNAcentral.